UUUUGAACUGUGACACGAGGAUUUUCAGUCCUCUGCUCUACCAGCUGAG
RNAcentral lists this transfer RNA (49 nucleotides) under Strobilanthes hamiltoniana. Its description in RNAcentral is "partial tRNA-Phe". The record is from RNAcentral. RNAcentral also lists the same sequence under 1 other name. Lineage: Eukaryota; Viridiplantae; Streptophyta; Magnoliopsida; Lamiales; Acanthaceae.